GGUAUUCAUGUAAUGAAGUCAUCAAUGUCUCAAUACCUACUUUGACUGCCUUGAAUGAAUGUACAGUCUCUUUUCAGAAGGGAGGGAAUGAAGAAAUGAGCUUGGUAGACUAAACAGUCUUCUAGAAGGAAGUUGGUGAGAUCAGACUCUGUCAGAUCCUCCUUUGUUCCACAUUAGGUAUUAUUUCUCAAGGGAUUGAUACUAAAUAAGUUGGGGAAAUGUAAGGUGGAAAUUGUAUGCACUACUAGUAGUUAAAUUUUUGUGUUUUUUCCCCCUAAGGAUUUAAGGAAAGGCAAUUAGCUUUUAAAGAGGACUUCUCCCAACUGAUAAUCACAUUUGACUAUAAAAUAAGCUUCAAGUUCUUUGAAGACCUGGCUCUGACAGUUCAUACUGUUAAAGAUUUAGGUGAGGGUUGAGCGAAUGGAAGCUUCUAUAUGGGAUCCUGCAGCACGCUUUUCUUUGGGUGCGGUGAAGGGUGAUGUUUUUCUGUACUGGAGAGCAGAUGACUAGUACAUGUAAGCCUAAUUUCUAGGUUUGGACAUUGGGUAAAGUAAACUUAUAAAGCAUUCUCAAUCCCCACUUGUUAAUAAAAUAGUUUAUGGGUAUUUAUAACAUAAAUCAUACGUUUCAAUUACCUGAAUAUUGGAAGCCAGUGAAGAGUCAAGAAUCACCUUAAACCUUUAUAAAGCAUUGAGAUCCCAAAGAAUAUAUGUGUCUGUAACCACCUGUGCAGAAGUGAUCAUUUGCAGGUAGAUGAGCUCCUGUGAAAGCUGGGAUGGGAAGUCCUAAAGUGUGAAAAGCUUUGGUAAGUUUUCCUUUAUGACCAUGGAUCAUAUAUUUUUUUUUUGAUACUUGCUUUGGUGUUCCUACUUAGAAAACUUAUCUGUUUUUCAACUUUCAAGUGAAAACAAGAAACAGUUAUUAAAAUACCUUAACUUUCUAUAUGGGGAUUCUGAAUACAAGAGAGAAUAGAAAUUUA
This is a long non-coding RNA of Aethalodelphis obliquidens (Pacific white-sided dolphin), 979 nucleotides long. RefSeq lists it as uncharacterized. NCBI's taxonomy places the organism in Eukaryota, Metazoa, Chordata, Mammalia, Artiodactyla, Delphinidae. The transcript is spliced from 2 exons. The record is from RefSeq and is a predicted model, not a curated record.